CCUACGGGUGGCAGCAGUGGGGAAUAUUGGGCAAUGGGCGCAAGCCUGACCCAGCAACGCCGCGUGAAGGAAGAAGGCUUUCGGGUUGUAAACUUCUUUUCUGGGGGACGAACAAAUGACGGUACCCCAGGCAUAAGCCUCGGCUAACUACGUGCCAGACGCCGCGGUAAUACGUAGGGGGCAGGCGUUGUCCGGCAUUAUUGGGUGUAAAGGGCGUGUAGGCGGGAAUGCAAGUCAGAAGUGAAAACUAUGGGCUCAACGCAUAGCCUGCAUUUGAAACUGUAUUUCUUGAGUGCUGGAGAGGCAAUCGGAAUUCCGGGUGUAGCGGUGAAAUGCGUAGAUAUACGGAGGAACACCAGUGGCGAAGGCGGAUUGCUGGACAGUAACUGACGCUGAGGCGCGAAAGCGUGGGGAGCAAACAGGAUUAGAUACCCCUGUAGUC
Molecule: ribosomal RNA, 442 nt
Filed under: uncultured bacterium
Lineage: Bacteria
Description: partial 16S ribosomal RNA
Rfam family: Bacterial small subunit ribosomal RNA
Source: RNAcentral